CAGUUAAAAAGCUCGUAGUUGAACGUUCGGGUCCGCGGGACGGGGCCGCCCCGCGAGGGACGGCGCCGCCCCGGGGCUCGUGAUAUCUUAUCUCGCCGCCCGUCGCGAGGCGGACGGAGGGAUGGAUGAGGUUACCUAGGAAAAAUCGGGGCGAUCUACUCGGCGUUCCGCGCCGCCGGAUAACCGUAGUAAUUCUAGGGCUAAUACGUGCGAAGCGCCCGAAGCCGCGAGGCGACGGGCGUUCUCGCCGGAUGUAGGAACCGACCCGGGGACCGCCGGGGCAACCCGGCGCCCCCGAGACGGGGCGAACCACGGUGAAAUGACGGAUCGUCGGCCCCGCGCCGGCGACUCGCCGAAUGAGUUUCUGACCUAUCAACUCGAGACGGCGGGGUAGAGGCCCGCCGCGGUAACGACGGGUAACGGGGAAUCAGGGUUCGAUUCCGGAGAGGGAG
RNAcentral lists this ribosomal RNA (452 nucleotides) under uncultured eukaryote. RNAcentral describes it as "bacterial SSU rRNA". The stretch from base 143 to 443 matches the Rfam family "Eukaryotic small subunit ribosomal RNA", at positions 103 to 385 of the family's 1831-position model. The record is from RNAcentral.